CACGUAGGGGCGAGCGUUGUCCGGAAUUACUGGGCGUAAAGGGCGCGCAGGCUGUUAUGCGAGUCUGCUGUGAAAUGUACCGGCUCAACCGGUGCCUUGCGGCGGAUACUGCAUAGCUGGAGUACUGGAGAGGGAAGUGGAAUUCCCGGUGUAGCGGUGAAAUGCGUAGAUAUCGGGAGGAAUACCAGUGGCGAAGGCGGCACCCUGGCAUUGACCUGACGCUGAGGUGCGAAAGCGUGGGGAGCGAACGGGAUUAGAUA
This 260-nucleotide ribosomal RNA is filed under the name uncultured prokaryote. RNAcentral describes it as "partial 16S ribosomal RNA". It matches the Rfam family "Bacterial small subunit ribosomal RNA", at positions 524 to 784 of the family's 1533-position model. The record is from RNAcentral.